UCCUCGGUAGCUCAAUGGUAGAGCAAGUGGCUGUUAACCACUAGGUUGCUGGUUCGAAUCCAGCCCGAGGAGCCA
This 75-nucleotide transfer RNA is filed under the name Patescibacteria group bacterium. Its description in RNAcentral is "tRNA-Asn". It matches the Rfam family "tRNA". Rfam says of the family: Transfer RNA (tRNA) molecules are approximately 80 nucleotides in length. Their secondary structure includes four short double-helical elements and three loops (D, anti-codon, and T loops). The record is from RNAcentral.